AAAAGCAAAGCUAAUUAAGCUAUUGGGUUCAUACCCCGGCUAUAAAGGUCUCACUCCUUUUCUUUUUA
This 68-nucleotide transfer RNA is filed under the name Cryptolestes ferrugineus. Its description in RNAcentral is "tRNA-Met". Lineage: Eukaryota; Metazoa; Arthropoda; Insecta; Coleoptera; Laemophloeidae. The record is from RNAcentral.